AUUGAACGCUGGCGGCAGGCCUAACACAUGCAAGUCGAGCGAGCGGCGGACGGGUGAGUACUGUAUGGUGAUCUGCCUGAUGGAGGGGGAUAACUACUGGAAACGGUAGCUAAUACCGCAUACAAUCAGUUAUACCCAUAUGGGGUUAGCUUGUAGGUAAGGGAACGGCUUACCUAGGCGACGAUCCCUAGCUGGUCUGAGAGGAUGAUCAGCCACACUGGGACUGAGACACGGCCCAGACUCCUACGGGAGGAAGCAGUGGGGAAUAUUGCACAAGGGGCGCAAGCCGGAUGCAUCCAUGCCGCGUGUAUGAAGAAGGCCUUCGGGUUGUAAAGUACUUUCAGUCGGGAGGCGUUACCGACAGAAGAGGCACCGGCUAACUCCGUGCCAGCAGCCGCGGUAAUAC
Molecule: ribosomal RNA, 406 nt
Filed under: uncultured bacterium
Lineage: Bacteria
Description: partial 16S ribosomal RNA
Rfam family: Bacterial small subunit ribosomal RNA
Source: RNAcentral